Molecule: ribosomal RNA, 561 nt
Filed under: uncultured bacterium
Lineage: Bacteria
Description: bacterial SSU rRNA
Rfam family: Bacterial small subunit ribosomal RNA
Source: RNAcentral
CUCACACUGAGCCGCUCGUUUUACAGCUUAACACAUGCAAGUCGAGCGAGGCGGAAGGGGGCAACUCCUUCCAGUCGAGCGGCGGACGGGUGAGUAACACGUGGGUAACCUGCCCGGAAGUGGGGAAUACCUCGGGGAAACUCGAGCUAAUACCGCAUGACAUCUGCAUGUGGACGGAAGUCCUGGCGAUCAAAGCUGGGNGUCGCAAGAUCUCGCGCUACCGGAUGGGCCCGCGCCCUGAUUAGCUAGUUGGUGAGGUAACGGCUCACCAAGGCUUCGAUCGGUAACCGGCCUGAGAGNGGCGAUCUGGUCACACCUGGAACUGAGACACGUGUCCGGACUCCUACGGGAUGUGCAUGCAUGUGGGGAAUCUUGCGCAAUGGGCGAAAGCCUGACGCAGCAACGCCGCGUGGAGGAUGAAGGCCCUUGGGUUGUAAACUCCUGUCGGCUGGGAAGAAAUCGUUCGCUGUGCUAAUACCCGCGGACGUUGACUGUACCAGCAAAGGAAGCCCCAGGCUAACUACUAGUAGCCAGCAGCCGCGGUAAUACAGAGGGGGCCAG